CAGAACGACCCGCGAACAGGUGAAAAAAUCAAUCGGGAGAGACGUGCCUUUCGGCCUUUCCCCCGGGGUCCCGAGCAAAGGUUGCGGUUGAAGGCCACGUCCUUUGCCACGGGGCAAAACAAACAAAACCCCGGCGCAAACCGCGCCAAGGAAAACAAAGGAAGAUGCGCUCCCCUCGUCCCGGAAACGGUACGUCGGGAGUUCCAUCGUCGUUAUCGAUUUCGAAACGACUCUCGGCAACGGAUAUCUCGGCUCUCGCAUCGAUGAAGAACGUAGCGAAAUGCGAUACUUGGUGUGAAUUGCAGAAUCCCGUGAACCAUCGAGUUUUUGAACGCAAGUUGCGCCCGAAGCCGUCAGGCCGAGGGCACGCCUGCCUGGGUGUCACGAAAAGUCGCCAAACAUCCCCUCACCCCUCACGAGGCGAGGGGCGGCGGAUAUUGGCCUCCCGUGUGCUCGUGUACGCGGUUGGCCCAAAAAGGAGGCCUCCGUGCAAGGCGGCCGCGACACACGGUGGUUGAAAGCACACGCUCUCUCCGAACACCGUCGCGGCCUAUCCUUGUAUACGGGGAGCCAAAGACCCCGACGCGAAGCGUCCUCACGAAGCGACCC
RNAcentral lists this ribosomal RNA (609 nucleotides) under Plagiopteron suaveolens. Its description in RNAcentral is "eukaryotic LSU rRNA". The stretch from base 229 to 384 matches the Rfam family "5.8S ribosomal RNA". The record is from RNAcentral. Lineage: Eukaryota; Viridiplantae; Streptophyta; Magnoliopsida; Celastrales; Celastraceae.